CGAUUGGGUAGAGGCCGCAAUCGCUUAUGAGUAACCCACGUGAGUUUGACAGCUAUGACCGUGCGUAAAAGGAAGCAUUGCCGAAGUGGACCGGAAAGUCAGAGAAGGUCCGCUGGGGCCAUUCCGAACAGGAAUGGCACUGUCAUGCGGGACGGGAAACCGUCCGCAUGGAGAGCUACAGAUCGU
RNAcentral lists this non-coding RNA (186 nucleotides) under Edaphobacillus lindanitolerans. Its description in RNAcentral is "Lysine sequence". It matches the Rfam family "Lysine riboswitch aptamer". From Rfam's summary of the family: Riboswitches are metabolite binding domains within certain messenger RNAs that serve as precision sensors for their corresponding targets. Allosteric rearrangement of mRNA structure is mediated by ligand binding, and this results in modulation of gene expression. This family includes riboswitches that sense lysine in a number of genes involved in lysine metabolism, including lysC. The record is from RNAcentral. Lineage: Bacteria; Bacillati; Bacillota; Bacilli; Caryophanales; Bacillaceae.